GGAGAGGUGCCGGAGUCCGGUUGAACGGGCCUGACUCGAAAUCAGGUGACGGGCUUGCCCGUCCGUGGGUUCGAAUCCCACCCUCUCCGCCA
This 92-nucleotide transfer RNA is filed under the name Deltaproteobacteria bacterium. Its description in RNAcentral is "tRNA-Ser". It matches the Rfam family "tRNA". From Rfam's summary of the family: Transfer RNA (tRNA) molecules are approximately 80 nucleotides in length. Their secondary structure includes four short double-helical elements and three loops (D, anti-codon, and T loops). Further hydrogen bonds mediate the characteristic L-shaped molecular structure. tRNAs have two regions of fundamental functional importance: the anti-codon, which is responsible for specific mRNA codon recognition, and the 3' end, to which the tRNAs corresponding amino acid is attached (by aminoacyl-tRNA synthetases). tRNAs cope with the degeneracy of the genetic code in two manners: having more than one tRNA (with a specific anti-codon) for a particular amino acid; and 'wobble' base-pairing, i.e. permitting non-standard base-pairing at the 3rd anti-codon position. The record is from RNAcentral. Lineage: Bacteria; Pseudomonadati; Myxococcota; Myxococcia.